UACGUAGGGUGCGAGCGUUAAUCGGAAUUACUGGGCGUAAAGCGUGCGCAGGCGGUUUCACAAGUUCGAUGUGAAAGCCCCGGGCUUAACCUGGGAAUGGCAUUGGGGACUGUGGAGCUCGAGUGCGGCAGAGGGAGGUGGAAUUCCACGUGUAGCAGUGAAAUGCGUAGAGAUGUGGAGGAACACCGAUGGCGAAGGCAGCCUCCUGGGCCGACACUGACGCUCAUGCACGAAAGCGUGGGGAGCAAACAGG
RNAcentral lists this ribosomal RNA (253 nucleotides) under uncultured bacterium. RNAcentral's name for it is "partial 16S ribosomal RNA". It matches the Rfam family "Bacterial small subunit ribosomal RNA", at positions 524 to 776 of the family's 1533-position model. The record is from RNAcentral.